GGGAUCAAGAUAUAAAUAUAUUUUUAUAUGAUAUUUCUUUGGUGCGACUGUCGAAAACAACCGCAUCGGUGCACUCUUUUGUUGGAUGCUAAUUGGUUGAUUAGUGUACGGAUGUGCAUGUUAAGGUAGUCAUGGUUGUAUUGUAUAACUUUUUAUGGGUUAUUUUCCUUAUUAUUAGGAUGUGUUAAUUGGGUCGACUUUUAGGGCGCUAAACUCACGAUUUCUUCGACGAAAUUUUAGGGUUAAAUUUUAGAUUUUAUGGUUUGUUUCUAAUGCAAAGCGUGAAGAAGUGGGUCAAGAGCAUGGGAAAGGGGUAGAAUGGCCUUUUGACCAAUCCAUUGAACUAGAGCCAGAGGGGAAGAAGGGUCUGGUCAUUCACGUUGGUAUGCUCUCUCUCUCUCUCUCUCUCUCUCCCCUAGUCUUCUCUCAAGGGUUUGGAAGACAAGGCUUAACUAUAUAUGGGCUUUAAUAUUAUCUUUUUUUUUUUUAAAUUCCCUUUUUAGGAAAGUAAAUAAAAGGCUACUUGUGAUGAUGAACAAAUCAAUCAUUAAAGCCAUUUUGAAAAGGAAAGAAAAAAAACAGGUGAAAACCCUCAGAUAUAUAAAAUAAAUGGAAUAAUCAUGUUUGUUAUUAUUGUCAAAGUCAUAUUUAAAAACAAAAAUGACAAUAAACAACAAGAACAAGAUUACCAAAAUAAAUACUGAUAUAUCUAUGUGUGUCAGUGUGUAUAACUGCCUGCCCAUAUGUUAACUUUUUGCUUGAAAAAUAUAAACCAAAAUGAUUUUACAAGUUGCAAUAAUCUUCUUUCUCUCCUAUUAAGUUCACCUCUAAAGAUUUUUUCUAAAACUCAGGCUAAUCAACCAACGCCCUUGCAUUCCUAAACAAUGUGCCUUGCCACCUUGUUAAACUACACCAAAAGCACUUUCUUACAUUACUGUUUUUAUCUUUUAGCUCACGAUUCAAUGGAUCUCAAACCAUUCAAUCAUAUCUUACUUCUAGAUAAGACAAUAAAAGUAUAACAAAACAAAAUACCUUGCUAGAUAAAAAACUUCACCACACAUAACCAACCCCAAGCUACGAUCAAAUGAAAACACACGAUCUCAGAAGCCAUAAUUCAAGCUUGUUUAUGAUCUAAAGACACAGUAGUAUAUCAAUAACAAUAGUCAAUUAAACAUGGUAACAAUUUAUACCAAAGCAACUUCUACGACAUUUAUCUUCACAAGAGAUCCCAGAUUUGAUAACUAUUUACGGAAAACACAUUCAUAAACAAUCAAGAUUUAUCCAAAUAUUGCAUGAUAUUGCUACUUCGUUUUUCAAAUACAGGUGUUUUAAAUUUUAAGGUUAUCCUAUACAACAAUAGAAAUUUGUUCUUCAAUCUUUGAGUGAAAAGGGAAAUUUCUUGUAAGAAAAGAUUUUGUUAUUCUCAUGGUAAUUUUAGCAAAGGUACUUCAAUCGGUGCUCCAGUUCAUGGUUUGUGUAACGACCCAAAAUUGCUAAUAGGGCUUGGUUAGCAUGUCGGGAGGACAUAAUUGGUUUAUAUGUGUGUUUAAUUGGUUAAAUGUGUGACUAUGUGGCAUGCAUGAUUAAUAUAACUAUGUGAGUAUAUUAUAUGCAUGUUUAUGAGUAUUAGCUAUGCAUGUGGGCCAUUUAUAGCUUAUAAGGGCAUAAUUGUAACUUUGGCCCGCUGAGGGCAUAAAUGUGAUUUUAUGUGAUAUAUGGUCGAAACCACAUUAUUAUGUGGAUAUAUUUGCAGAACAUGGCUCGAGACGAUCAUUGUGAGCGGAUUAGCGAAAUAGUCACAGCUGGGUUUAAUACCCGGCUCGGGGUGAGCCUAGGAUUAUUCUGGGAACUUGGAGAAUAUUUUGGGGUUUAUUGAGAAAUGACAAAGUAUUUGGUAAUUAGUUAGACAUGACGAGGUUAAUUGGUUAAAUGUAGGAACACUUGAGGAAUAACGGGAAUUGGGGAAAAGACUAAUUUACCCUUAGAGCAAAUUAAAUGGCUAAGUAAAUUCAAUGGGGCAAUUUUGUCAUUGUUUGAUCAAGGUUAAGAUUAGCUAAGGCCCUAGAAGUAGACAGAACUCACUAGACACAAAAGGAAGUCUCAAAUACUCUCUCCCUUUCUUUCUAUUCGAUUUCUUCCUCUCUCUUUUAUGUUUGGAGAAGUCUUGAGGAGCUAAAGCAUUGAACCAGGGAAAUUAGCUGGGAAAAACUUGGGAAUUUAGGCUCAAAGAAUGAAGAUUUAAAGUUGAGGGAUUCAACUACAAUCUGAGGUAAGAAUUCAAGUUAGUUUUUCUAGAAUUCUGCUGAAAUCAUGUUAAGGUUUAAGUUUGCAUGAGGCCUAGUUUUGUUAGCUGGUUUUGGAUUGAAUUUGAGAGUUUUAUAAGACUGUGAAUUUCUUAUAAGAUUAGGUAUGUUGGUUAAGUUGUGGGGAUAAGAAGUUUGGGUUUGGUUAUGAAUUUUGCUGAAAGAUUGGAUGAAAUUUUGAGGUUUUUGGCUAGGAAGGUUGAGAAGAAAACCAAAAAAUUAUGGAUACGUGGGGGCAUGCCGCGACCCAGCUCAUGGGCGCCGCGACCCGCAUGACCUGGGAGGGCUCUCUGUUUUGGGGGCGCGCCACGACCCUAGGGGGCAAGUCGUGGCCCGCCUCCCCCAGAUGCGUGGGGUUGUGUCUCUGUCUUGGGGGCGCUCCAUGACCCUUAGGGCCAGGUCGUGGUCUGCCUAGGGCCUAGGUUGGUUUUUGAGAUUAGUAAGGCUCGGGAGUUCGAACCUAAGCGCUUAGGACGAAUUCUACUACCUGGUUUGAUGGAAAUUGAAGUCCCGGUGGCUAGCUAAUGUUUCCUAAGUAUUUAUUUGGAUUUAUAAUUGAUGAUUACCCAUUUAUAUUGUGACUAGUAUUAUCGCCAAGGCUCAGGACUGAGGAUCAUGUUCGGAACCGUACUGUAUUCUUCGCUCGGGAUUCGAGGCAAAGGCAAAAGGAAGCUGGACCAGCCAUGAGUUGAAGAGCUCUAGGGGUGAGGUGUACAUUGUCAGCUGCUCAUCCAUCACGGUCGAUGGAAAGUACAGGGACAAAGCCUUAAAAUUUAUAUUUUGCCAUUAGAGUGACUUUUGGUUGUAUAAAACUUUUGAGAGUUGUAAAUUAUCACUUAUACCCUGUUUUUGGGAUCCCGUGUAUUAAAUAUCCAUUUUUAAUGAAAGUUAACUGUUUAUGUUCAAAA
Humulus lupulus (European hop) is the source of this 3211-nucleotide long non-coding RNA. RefSeq lists it as uncharacterized. The record is from RefSeq and is a predicted model, not a curated record. The transcript has 3 exons. NCBI's taxonomy places the organism in Eukaryota, Viridiplantae, Streptophyta, Magnoliopsida, Rosales, Cannabaceae.